RNAcentral lists this ribosomal RNA (467 nucleotides) under uncultured bacterium. RNAcentral's name for it is "bacterial SSU rRNA". It matches the Rfam family "Bacterial small subunit ribosomal RNA", at positions 329 to 794 of the family's 1533-position model. The record is from RNAcentral.
CUCCAGACUCCUACGGGAGGCAGCAGUGAGGAAUAUUGGUCAAUGGCCGGGAGGCUGAACCAGCCAAGUCGCGUGAGGGAAGACGGCCCUACGGGUUGUAAACCUCUUUUGUCAGGGAGCAAGGUGCAGGUCGGGACCUGCUGUGAGAGUACCUGAAGAAAAAGCAUCGGUUAACUCCGUGCCAGCAGCCGCGGUAAUACGGAGGAUGCGAGCGUUAUCCGGAUUUAUUGGGUUUAAAGGGUGCGUAGGCGGAACAUUAAGUCAGCGGUAAAAUCGAGGGGCUCAACCCCUUUAAGCCGUUGAAACUGGUGAUCUUGAGUGGGCGAGAAGUAUGCGGAAUGCGUGGUGUAGCGGUGAAAUGCAUAGAAAUCACGCAGAACUCCGAUUGCGAAGGCAGCAUACCGGCGCCCGACUGACGCUGAGGCACGAAAGCGUGGGGAUCGAACAGGAUUAGAUACCCGUGUACU